AGUCGGACCUGCCCGGUGACUAUAUUGUUAAACGGCCGCGGUACCCUAACCGUGCAAAGGUAGCAUAAUCAUUUGCCUUUUAAUUGGAGGCUGGUAUGAAYGGUUUGACGAGAGCUAAGCUGUCUCUUUUGAAAUAUAUAAAAAUUAACUUUUAGGUGAAGAGGCCUAAAUUUAUUUAAGGGACAAGAAGACCCUGUUGAGCUUUAGUAAAAUUAUAAAUAUUUAAUGUCUAAACGACUUUGGUGUAUGUUGGCGUACAACCAUAAUUUGUAACUAAUCUUUAGUUGGGGCGACUGAGGAACAUAAAAACUUCCUUACAGUAAUUGAUUAAUUCUAACAAGAGUUAUUUUAAUGCUAUCAUGUUAUUUUGAUCCAGAGUGUUUUGAUUAAAGGAAAAAGUUACCACAGGGAUAACAGCGUAAUCUUUCUGGAGAGAUCUUAUCGAAAGAAGGGUUUGCGACCUCGAUGUUGGACUAAGAUAUCCUAAGGGUGUAGAAGUUCUUAAAGGUUGGUCUGUUCGACCAUUAAAAUCUUACGUGAU
This 541-nucleotide ribosomal RNA is filed under the name Cantharidus antipodum. RNAcentral describes it as "partial 16S ribosomal RNA". It matches the Rfam family "Bacterial large subunit ribosomal RNA", at positions 1851 to 2604 of the family's 2925-position model. Lineage: Eukaryota; Metazoa; Mollusca; Gastropoda; Trochida; Trochidae. The record is from RNAcentral.